UACGUAGGUGGCUAGCGUUGUCCGGAUUUAUUGGGCGUAAAGAGCGUGUAGGCGGCUUGGAAGGUCAGCUGUGAAAACUCGAGGCUCAACCUCGAGACGUCGGUUGAAACCACCUGGCUAGAGUCCGGAAGAGGAGAGUGGAAUUCCCGGUGUAGCGGUGAAAUGCGCAGAUAUCGGGAAGAACACCCGUGGCGAAGGCGGCUCUCUGGGACGGUACUGACGCUGAGACGCGAAAGCGUGGGGAGCGAACAGG
RNAcentral lists this ribosomal RNA (253 nucleotides) under uncultured bacterium. Its description in RNAcentral is "partial 16S ribosomal RNA". It matches the Rfam family "Bacterial small subunit ribosomal RNA", at positions 524 to 776 of the family's 1533-position model. The record is from RNAcentral.